AUAAAUAAAUCAAAAAGUAAUAAAAUCAAAUUCUAUUUGAAACAUGCAAAAAGUGGAAAACAUGGAUAAAAUUUUCAAGUUUGUUAAUGUUAUGAUCAUCAUUUUUUUCCUAUUUCUUGCUUCAACGCGAGUUUCAUAUGGUUAACCAUCUUUAUCUCCUUCUUAAAUUUCCUUCUUUCCUUCUAACACAAUAUUUUAUUCCAUUUUAUAACAAUUUUUUUUUUCUCUUUUUACAUUACAGCCAACAUUCCAUGUAAAACUGAUCGUGAUUGUCCAGUAGUUUCCAUCAACCAGUUCAAGAAUUCAAAACCUAUAAGAAUGAGGUGUCGUAAUGGUUUUUGUAUUUUGAGAUAAGACAUUAAAUGAAAUUUUUUAUAGUUUUUUUAAUUUCACGUACUUUUGUAAGAUGAUGUAAGUGAAAUGAAAUAAAGCAUAAAAAUUAUUA
RNAcentral lists this long non-coding RNA (445 nucleotides) under Trifolium pratense (red clover). RNAcentral describes it as "long non-coding RNA (TPRA_LNC006581)". The record is from RNAcentral. Lineage: Eukaryota; Viridiplantae; Streptophyta; Magnoliopsida; Fabales; Fabaceae.